GAAAGGGCGCAGCGAAAGUGUGAUAAACAUUGUGAAUUGCAGAAUUCCGUGAACCAAUAGGGAUUUGAACGUAUACUGCGCUUUCGGGAUAUCCCUGAAAGCAUGCCUGCUUCAGUGCCUCUACCUUCUAAUGCCAGUAGCUUCAUGCUCCUUCUUGGUGCUAGCUGCUUGUGCGUAUUUGUGCGUCAGAUUGCGCUUUCGAGUGCGUUUGACGCAUUGAGCACGUGGGGAACCUUUGCUUAUCAAUCAACUCAUUGAGUGUCCUCGGAUGCAUCAUCUGUUGCAUUGUUUGCGAAGGUCGCCUCAACAACCAAGUGCUGUUCAUCAGCCUUCCUCCAAGGCAUGAAGUUAGGUCAGCAAACCCGCUGAAUUUAAGCAUAUAAGUAAGCGGAGGACAAGAAACUAAACAGGAUUCCCUUAGUAAUGGCGAAUGAACAGGGAUGAGCUCAGCAUGGAAAUCGGGGUCUCCCGACCUUGAAUUGUAGUCUGUAGAUGUACUGCCAACGGAGGCGCAGAUGUAAGCCUCUUGGAAAAGAGCAUCAACGAGGGUGAGAGUCCCGUUUGUCAUCUGCAGUCCCCCGUGCACGGUGUGCCUUCUAAGAGUCACGUUCCUCGGGAUUGGAGCGCAAAGUGGGUGGUAAAUUUCAUCUAAAGCUAAAUAUUGGUUCGAGACCGAUAGCAAACAAGUACCAUGAGGGAAAGGUGAAAAGGACUUUGAAAAGAGAGUUAAAAGUGCCUGAAAUUGCUGAAAGGGAAGCGAAUGGAACCAGUGUUCUUGAUGAGAUUGUUGCGUACUCUGGUGAUUGCUGGGUGUUCCACCGCAAGGGGGGCAUUUAGUUUUGAGCUAGAUGUGCGUGGUGUUUCUUGUCUUGUGUGUCACCGUCGGUGCACGAGCGAGUAAACCUCCAGGGGGCUGGUAGCUCGACCAUGGUUGAGUGAAUACCUUUGGCAGUACUCAUUUGUGUAUCGAUCCCUGCGUGUCUGGUUGCAGUGUUUGGGUCGCCUGGAAACUUCUGAGGGGCUUGUCCUUGAAGGAGUCCUUCUGGGCGCCCUGAGCAUCUCCCUGACACAAAGACGAUGACUAAAUGGUUCUAUUCGACCCGUCUUGAAACACGGGACCAAGGA
This 1125-nucleotide small RNA is filed under the name Azadinium spinosum. Its description in RNAcentral is "eukaryotic LSU rRNA". The stretch from base 339 to 1125 matches the Rfam family "Eukaryotic large subunit ribosomal RNA", at positions 1 to 672 of the family's 3401-position model. Lineage: Eukaryota; Dinophyceae; Gonyaulacales; Amphidomataceae. The record is from RNAcentral.